ACUUAAGUAGUUUAAUUAGAAUAUUAAUUUGUGGUAUUAUUGGUGCCCUUGGCCUUAAGUU
Molecule: transfer RNA, 61 nt
Filed under: Physopelta slanbuschii
Lineage: Eukaryota; Metazoa; Arthropoda; Insecta; Hemiptera; Largidae
Description: tRNA-His
Source: RNAcentral